UAGUACUUGCACCACUGUUCUAUGGAAUGGAAGGACCCAAGCCCAGCAGUCCUCGUCUUCGCCCGAACUGCCCUACAUCCGCGUUGAUAUGUGCCCGACGAGCCCUGCAUUGCGGUGCUAACCCGUCCCAUCCUUCCAUUCCACAGACUCCACGCGUAGACAUUGGCCUGUUGCAUUUCACACCCAAUUUCCAACAUUAAUCGCUCGGUUUUAACCAGCCGGGAUGGCUAUAGCAAUAGCCAUCCUUCUGCUUUUUUAAACUAAAAAAGAAGAAAAGAAAGCAAAUUCCACUCCUCCAACCAGGAAAUGGUUUUAUUUUUCACGCAGUUUUUGUUUUUUUGAUAGGCGUUUUUCGUAACCUUCGAAGAGCAUGUGAUGUAAAACGGAAUAAC
This 392-nucleotide small RNA is filed under the name Histoplasma capsulatum var. duboisii H88. RNAcentral describes it as "Histoplasma capsulatum H88 hypothetical RNA". The record is from RNAcentral. Lineage: Eukaryota; Fungi; Ascomycota; Eurotiomycetes; Onygenales; Ajellomycetaceae.